Molecule: ribosomal RNA, 387 nt
Filed under: Tigriopus fulvus
Lineage: Eukaryota; Metazoa; Arthropoda; Copepoda; Harpacticoida; Harpacticidae
Description: partial small subunit ribosomal RNA
Source: RNAcentral
GCGGUUAUACUUGUUCUUCAACUCAAAAGUUUAAAAUAAAAUAUACUAAGUUAUUUUGUCCAAUAAUAAAAUUAAAGGUUUAAUUUUAGAAAUUAUUGUUUAAAUUGGAUUAGUACCCAAGUAAUUAAAUUAAUUAAUUAAGGUAACACCUAAACUAAAUGGCCGUAUUAUCUUUUAAGCAGAGAAACUUGAAAUUUAGAAAAUCCACUUUAUUGUUAAUCUUAUAAAGGUUUAAGUAUGGCUGUCUAAAAAUAAAUUUAUAUUUAGAUUUAUAGUCAAGCAACAUUUAACUUAUAAGAAGAUUUUGAGUUGCAACAAAUAGAUUAUAAGAGGUUAUAAAAAUUAGGAUUUGCAAGUAAAAUAAUUUUUGAAAUAGUUUUAAGUACA